ACGGAAGGCAGCAGUGGGGAAUAUUGGGCAAUGGGCGCAAGCCUGACCCAGCAACGCCGCGUGAAGGAUGAAGGUCUUCGGAUUGUAAACUUCUUUGAUCAGGGACGAAUAAAUGACGGUACCUGAGGAACAAGUCACGGCUAACUACGUGCCAGCAGCCGCGGUAAUACGUAGGUGACAAGCGUUAUCCGGAGUUACUGGGUGUAAAGGGCGUGUAGGCGGUUUGGCAAGUCAGAAGUGAAAUUCCCGGGCUUAACUUGGGCGCUGCUUCUGAAACUGCUUAACUUGAGUACUGGAGAGGAUAGUGGAAUUCCUAGUGUAGCGGUAAAAUGCACAGAUAUUAGGAGGAACACCGGUGGCGAAGGCGGCUAUCUGGACAGUAACUGACGCUGAGGCGCGAAAGCACGGGGAGCAAACAGGAUUAGAUACCCUGGUA
Molecule: ribosomal RNA, 436 nt
Filed under: uncultured Saccharofermentans sp.
Lineage: Bacteria; Bacillati; Bacillota; Clostridia; Eubacteriales; Oscillospiraceae
Description: partial 16S ribosomal RNA
Rfam family: Bacterial small subunit ribosomal RNA
Source: RNAcentral